AUUGAACGCUGGCGGCAGGCUUAACACAUGCAAGUCGAGCGGGGUGAUGGUGCUUGCACUAUCACUUAGCGGCGGACGGGUGAGUAAUGCUUAGGAAUCUGCCUAUUAGUGGGGGACAACAUCUCGAAAGGGAUGCUAAUACCGCAUACGUCCUACGGGAGAAAGCAGGGGAUCACUUGUGACCUUGCGCUAAUAGAUGAGCCUAAGUCGGAUUAGCUAGUUGGUGGGGUAAAGGCCUACCAAGGCGAGGAUCUGGAUCGGGUACGAGAGGAUGUACCGGCACACUGGGAACGAGACACGGCCACGACUCCUACGGGAGGCAGCAGUGUGGAAUAUUGGGCCAUGGGGGGAACCCUGAUCCAGCCAUGCCGCAUGUGUGAAGAAGGCCUUAUGGUUGUAAAGCACUUUAAGCGAGGAGGAGGCUCUUUUGGUUAAUACCCAAGAUGAGUGGACGUUACUCGCAGAAUAAGCACCGGCUAACUCUGUGCCAGCCGCCGCCGUAA
RNAcentral lists this ribosomal RNA (503 nucleotides) under uncultured bacterium. Its description in RNAcentral is "partial 16S ribosomal RNA". It matches the Rfam family "Bacterial small subunit ribosomal RNA", at positions 30 to 523 of the family's 1533-position model. The record is from RNAcentral.